This 430-nucleotide ribosomal RNA is filed under the name Bacillota bacterium. Its description in RNAcentral is "Firmicutes bacterium partial 16S ribosomal RNA". It matches the Rfam family "Bacterial small subunit ribosomal RNA", at positions 355 to 776 of the family's 1533-position model. Lineage: Bacteria; Bacillati; Bacillota. The record is from RNAcentral. RNAcentral also lists the same sequence under 1 other name.
UGGGGAAUAUUGGACAAUGGGCGCAAGCCUGAUCCAGCCAUGCCGCGUGUGUGAAGAAGGCCUUUUGGUUGUAAAGCACUUUAAGCGAGGAGGAGGCUACUUGGAUUAAUACACUAAGAUAGUGGACGUUACUCGCAGAAUAAGCACCGGCUAACUCUGUGCCAGCAGCCGCGGUAAUACAGAGGGUGCGAGCGUUAAUCGGAUUUACUGGGCGUAAAGCGUGCGUAGGCGGCUUCUUAAGUCGGAUGUGAAAUCCCUGAGCUUAACUUAGGAAUUGCAUUCGAUACUGGGAAGCUAGAGUAUGGGAGAGGAUGGUAGAAUUCCAGGUGUAGCGGUGAAAUGCGUAGAGAUCUGGAGGAAUACCGAUGGCGAAGGCAGCCAUCUGGCCUAAUACUGACGCUGAGGUACGAAAGCAUGGGGAGCAAACAGG